GAUGAACGCUGGCGGCGUGCCUAAUACAUGCAAGUCGAGCGAACGGACGAGAAGCUUGCUUCUCUGAUGUUAGCGGUGGACGGGUGAGUAACACGUGGAUAACCUACCUAUAAGACUGGGAUAACUUCGGGAAACCGGAGCUAAUACCGGAUGAUAUUUUGAACCGCAUGGUUCAAUAGUGAAAGACGGUCUUGCUGUCACUUAUAGAUGGAUCCGCGCUGCAUUAGCUAGUUGGUAAGGUAACGGCUUACCAAGGCAACGAUGCAUAGCCGACCUGAGAGGGUGAUCGGCCACACUGGAACUGAGACACGGUCCAGACUCCUACGGGAGGCAGCAGUAGGGAAUCUUCCGCAAUGGGCGAAAGCCUGACGGAGCAACGCCGCGUGAGUGAUGAAGGUCUUCGGAUCGUAAAACUCUGUUAUUAGGGAAGAACAUAUGUGUAAGUAACUGUGCACAUCUUGACGGUACCUAAUCAGAAAGCCACGGCUAACUACGUG
This 497-nucleotide ribosomal RNA is filed under the name uncultured bacterium. RNAcentral describes it as "partial 16S ribosomal RNA". It matches the Rfam family "Bacterial small subunit ribosomal RNA", at positions 28 to 507 of the family's 1533-position model. The record is from RNAcentral.